GGCGGGGCCGUCCCCGCGCCCCCUGCAGGCGCCCGGCCGGGGGCGAGCCCGCCGAGCCCCACCGAGCCUGGCCGUCCCACCCCCGGCGCGCCCGGCGCGGUCUGGCGGGCCCGGAGGAGGCUGCGAGCGCGCCGCCCGCGGGGCUUCUCAGAGGCGGGGCGGCGGCGGGGCAGGCCCGAGCCGGGCUCCCGCGGCCGGGGUGGGAGGAGGAGAGGCCGCGCGGCGCGGGUGAGUGCCCAGGACUGAUGGUAGCCACCUUCUAACCACAAGAAGAGUCAGUCUGAAGAAAACAGAGGAUGGCAGAGUUCAAAGAAGAGCAGAGAAAUAGAUCUCCAGCUCCAAUGGUGUACAUUGAGGAAUCUGUCCUCUCCGACAGACAAGAUUCCCCAGCACACAUCCAACAGUGAUGCUCCCUGCCAAGGAAACAAUCUGCUUGAUUCUCAUCCAGGAGCACUGAGAGGAGGGGGGCCGCCUUUAUGUCCUCUCCUAUCUUCGUCAAGCCAUAUGCAACUGGCAGCCACCACACUUCUCUCUGUGGGAAGAGGAUAAUCAGAGCUGGAUUCCUGAAUGAAAGGAGGAACAUGCAGAGUCGCCUGCCUCCCGUCCAAUGGUAGUGGAAUCCUUGUGGCCUGACUCAGUCCGGAGCUCGUCUGAAGUCCGUGGCUUUUAGGGACCGGGAUGGGCUCUCAGAUUCAGAGUUAGAGGGACCUGGGUUCAAGUCUCGCCUUUUGGGCCUCUGCUCUCUUAGGGUAAAUGAGGAUAACAAUACUGUCCUCUCAGAGGUAUUGUGGGGAGGAUUACCCAUCCCACAGUGUCACACGUAUGUUCAUCAAUGAUCUGAGGGCUGGCAAGAUAUACUCUCUAAUUUCUUUCAAGAGCAGAAAAUGGUGUUCCUGGACGACAGAAGAGAUAUUGACAAUGUGAUAGGAACUAACGAUUCAGGAGGAUUGAGAUGCCCUUCUAUUCUCCCAUUCCAUUAAGCUUCUCCAACAGAGAGAAGGGGCAGGGAAUUAAAACUCUUCCAUUGCUCUGGUAGCUUUGGGGAGUAAAAGACAUGUGUGUAUACUAAAGUGUGGGAGGGCACCCAAAUGUCAACUAAUUUCAUACACAGAAUGGCUAAAAGAAAUAGAGAAAUUUUUUUCAUCAUAAUAUACCUUGUACCAUGGAGGUACAGAGCUUAGAGAAAUCCACUUCAGUACUUUUUUUAAAGGAAAUAUAAUAGCCAGAAAAAUAUAGACCUACUGGACGUAAGGGCAAAGAUAGUGCAAAUAUAUGUGUAUGGUAAGGUUAUACUGUUACAAAGAUGGGGCAACCAGUUAGGCUCUGAGCUUCCAGUAGGCCAAAGCAGAAAGGGAAAUAUUAUGUUACCAAAUGUAUAGCUUUCAUGAGGAACCCCCUACUGCUACCAGUUCCUCAUCCUUUUUUAUCAUAAGAUUCAUAAGCAUGGAUAAUUAUCUUCAGGAAGAGAAUACUUAGGGAGUUUCACUACGGCCUCUUUCAAGUAUUUGAUGGGCUGCCAAGUACAAAAAGGAAAGAUUGCUUUGGGUAAUUCCAAACCACAAAACUAGAAUCAAUGAGUGUAAGUUAAAGGGAACAGAUUUUGGUUAAAAAUAAAGAACUUUCUAACAAUUAGAGUUGUCCAUAAAUGGAAUGAGCUGUCUGGCAAAGAAGUGAGCUCCCUGUUACUGGAAGUGAUCAAACAGAGGCUGGCUAACCAUCUGUUAAGGAUAAAAAGGAUUUGUACAUAAUGAGAGAAUUAUGCAACAACAUAAUACAAGGCUCUUCAUGACAGUUUUAUUUAUAAUAGUAGGGAAAAAAAUAGAAUCAACCUAAAUGUCCAACAAUGGGGGAUUAGAUUAUUAUGGUACUCUCAUAUGACUUACUUUUUUUACAGAUUUUACAGAUGUUAAAAAAUCAAUAAAAUGAUGACAUGGGAAAUGCUUAUAAUCUGUUACUAAGUGGGAAAAACAGGCUACUGUAGCAUAUAUAUUGUGAAGCCAUUUUGUAAAAAAAAAUAUUUGUAUAUGGAAGAAUAACACUAAAAUGUACAUACGUGAAAACAUUGAUAGUGAUUACCAUUAGUGUUUGAAUUAUGGGUGAUUUUCCUCUGGGCUUCUCAGGGUUUUCCAAGUUUUCUAUGCUGAGCACUUACCACUUACAUAACUAGGGGGAAAAAAAGUAAGAAGAAAAAAAACUCCCAGGAGUCUCUUAUUAGCUAGUAGCUUCAAUUAGAUGAUCCCUAUAGUUUUUCAAACCUAAGAUUUUAUGUUUUUUAUUUUAAACUUAGGUUGACUGUUUUUCUCAUAAGAUAACUUACCUUUUAAAAAGGUUUUAAUCAAAUAUAAACCCUCCCACCAAAAAAAGGUUAGCUUAAAUUAUAAAGUGUUUGGUAAAAAUCAAAUGUGUUUCUGAUUGCUCUGGUCAUUUUCACAGUCUCUUGAAGAUACAUGGGAUAUAAAUGUAAAAGUCUGCCGAAUAGAAUAGAAAGAACUUACGAAUUGGAAUCAGACACCGCUGGGUCUCAAGUCUUGGCUCCACUACAAACCAGCCUUAGUUUCCUCAACUUGAAUAUGGGAUAAUAAUAAUAAUAGCUAAGAUUUGUAGAACACCCUCAACGUGCCAGGCACUGAUUAAGUGCUUUACAUGCAAUGGAAUCUUCAAUAAAAUCCUCCGAGGUGAAUUCUGUUCUCCUUAUUUUUCAGAUGAUAAAACUAAAGCACAGAGAAUUUCCAUAGCUUGCCAAGAUCUGAUAGCUCUAAGCGAUGGAGUACAAAUUCAACCUCAGGCCAUCUAACCUUAGGAACCAUGGUGUUAACUACUAUACUAUACUGCCUUAUAGAGUUGUGGAAGGAUUAAUUAAAUUAACAUACAUAAAGUGCUUAGCAGAAAAACAGGCAGUCAGUGUGCUCGGUUUCUCCCUAAACUUUUCCAUAGCUAUUUGGCCCCAGAAAGACUUCUGAUUGUCUUCUCCAAGAAUGCAUUCAACGAACACACUGGAGAAAUGCAGCUCUGUGGUAGGUAGUCUUAUAACAAGUUCAUUAUCAGUGGCAUUCAUGUCAAACUGAAAGAUAUUAGAAAUCAUGUCCCACAGGAUUCCAUUCUGGGGCUGAUUCUUUAAUAUUUCAUCAAUGAUUUACAUGGAUAGAACAGAAAAUAAGCUCCUAAAGCUGACAGAUGAUACAUGCUGUUAGCAGAUGACACCCAUCGUCAGUUAGAAGGGCUAGCAUCCAGGACAGGAUUAGAAUUCCAAAUGGUCUGGCAAGAUGGAGAAGAGGUGGAGGCAAAAAGAAUGAACUUCAUUAGCAACUAGCACAGAGUAAUACAUUUAUUAAGAGGGAAAACAUUAUAUCGGCAUAGCAAGGGCAGUGACUAGGAGUGAAUAAUUGUUGCUAGAAUGAGUUAAUGGUUAAAGUUGCUCAUAAGCUGGAAAUGAGACACAAAGUCAAGUACGGUUCUGGAAAUGUACUGAAAAAAUAAGACUAUGGUGGAGUAAAUCAAUUUCCCCCAUUAUAUACCAUAUUUUAAACACUCUUUCGAGUUCGAUUUUUUUUCCUUCAAUAUUGUUCUGGACAUCUUGGAAAAAGUAUCCGAAAAGCAAAAGAAAUUUUUACAAUUACAAAACACAACCUGAGGGAAUAGCGAAGGAACUGAGAUCUUUUAGUUGAAGAAGACAAGUCAAUUGCUGACAAUUGAUUUAAAAAUUGCUUACAGAGCAGCAUCUAUGUCCCAGCCUUUGUGCUGGGUGCUGGGAGACAGAGAGAAUCAAGAUCUGGUUUCUGCCCUUGAGAAGCUCAGAGACAAGAGGAUAAUCGCUUUUAAGUUUAUAGACUGUUAUUUAGAACUCUGAUGUUUGCAUCAUUCCUGGCUAACUCCUAUGCAUCUUUUUCUUUUAUUUCCUCUUUCUUCCCUCAUUUCCUCUUCUUUUCUUUUUUCCUUCUCUUCCUAGAUGUUAGAUCUGUGACAGGAGCCCACCAGCAUGGCAGGUUGGCUAGGUAUAUUCAAUAGGGUCUCAUCUGAGACUUGGCCAGGAUACGAAGCCCUUCUCCUCUUACAUUUCGAAAUAUUUCUAUAAAUGUAUCUUUCAUCCUCCAUACACUUCCAAUACAAUUGCAGGUGAUGAAGCAAGCCUGGGAGAGAGAAAAGUAGGUUCCCGGAUGCAAAUAGAUCAGUUUGGCUGGGGAGAAUGCUAGAGUAGAUAUAUUAUGAAUCUUAUAAUAUUAAGGAAUUUGAACUUUCUCUUAGUGAUGACAGAAAGUCAAUGAAAGUUUGUGAGAAAGGGAGUGACAAGAUCAACUUGGGUUUUUAGGAAGAGUAACCUUAUUGUGGUAGACAGAAUGGGUUGUAGGGGGACAGGCUGGAGGAGGAGCCUUGUUAGGAGGUGAUCAUUAAGGAAUAAAAAAUGACCAGAAUUAGAUAAUAGAGUUAAAAGAGACAGAAGAUAUGUGGACUUGAGAGACACUAUAAAAGAAAAAUCAUUAAAAAUUUGAUGCCUAAGUAAAUAUGAGCAUCAAGAGAGGGAGAGGAUUUGAAAACAACUCCUAGAUAGUAGACAAGGAGUUUGGGAAAUGAAAAGGUACCAAAAUGAGGCAGUGAGAAGGUGAAGAUGGUUUGUGGCAAGGGAAUCAUGAUGGGUUUGGGGCCAGACAGGUUGUCUUUGUGUUGAUAGAAUAUAUAAAUAAAAACCAUAUAUCCAACAGGGAGCUAAGAAUAGAUUUUCUAUAAGAUCAUCCUCAGGGGCGCCUGGGUGGCUCAGUCGUUAAGCGUCUGCCUCUGGCU
This is a long non-coding RNA of Zalophus californianus (California sea lion), 4776 nucleotides long. RefSeq lists it as uncharacterized. The record is from RefSeq and is a predicted model, not a curated record. Lineage: Eukaryota; Metazoa; Chordata; Mammalia; Carnivora; Otariidae. The transcript is spliced from 4 exons.